This 519-nucleotide ribosomal RNA is filed under the name uncultured eukaryote. RNAcentral's name for it is "SSU rRNA". It matches the Rfam family "Eukaryotic small subunit ribosomal RNA", at positions 1161 to 1699 of the family's 1831-position model. The record is from RNAcentral.
AGGGCACCACCAGGAGUGGAGCCUGCGGCUUAAUUUGACUCAACACGGGAAAACUCACCCGGCCCGGACACUGGAAGGAUUGACAGAUUGAGAGCUCUUUCUUGAUUCAGUGGGUGGUGGUGCAUGGCCGUUCUUAGUUGGUGGAGUGAUUUGUCUGGUUAAUUCCGAUAACGAACGAGACUCUAGCCUACUAAAUAGAUCGUCGGCUUACAAACGCCGGCGAGACUUCUUAGAGGGACAGGCGGUGAUUCAACCGCACGAAACAGAGCAAUAACAGGUCUGUGAUGCCCUUAGAUGUCCGGGGCCGCACGCGCGCUACACUGAAGUGAUCAGCGUGCUUUUUCAACCUACUCUGUCAAGAGUGGGGAACCCAAUGAACCUUCUUCGUGAUUGGGGUAGGGGAUUGUAAUUGUUCCCCUUGAACGAGGAAUUCCCAGUAAGCGCGAGUCAUAAGCUCGCGUUGAUUACGUCCCUGCCCUUUGUACACACCGCCCGUCGCUACUACCGAUUGAAUGUUUU